GUGUGCUUAGCUCAGUUGGUAGAGCGGCGCCCUUACAAGGCGUAGGUCGGGAGUUCGAGCCUCUCAGCACCCACCA
This 76-nucleotide transfer RNA is filed under the name Ralstonia solanacearum. RNAcentral's name for it is "tRNA-Val". It matches the Rfam family "tRNA". From Rfam's summary of the family: Transfer RNA (tRNA) molecules are approximately 80 nucleotides in length. The record is from RNAcentral. Lineage: Bacteria; Pseudomonadati; Pseudomonadota; Betaproteobacteria; Burkholderiales; Burkholderiaceae.